UACGGAAGGUCCGAGCGUUAAUCGGAAUUACUGGGCGUAAAGCGCACGUAGGCGGCUAGGUCAGUUGGGUGUGAAAGCCCCGGGCUCAACCUGGGAACUGCAUCCAAUACUGCCUGGCUAGAGUACGAGAGAGGGGGGUAGAAUUUCUAGUGUAGCGGUGAAAUGCGUAGAUAUUAGAAGGAAUACCAGUGGCGAAGGCGGCCCCCUGGCUCGAUACUGACGCUGAGGUGCGAAAGCGUGGGGAGCAAACAGG
RNAcentral lists this ribosomal RNA (253 nucleotides) under uncultured Gammaproteobacteria bacterium. Its description in RNAcentral is "partial 16S ribosomal RNA". It matches the Rfam family "Bacterial small subunit ribosomal RNA", at positions 524 to 776 of the family's 1533-position model. Lineage: Bacteria; Pseudomonadati; Pseudomonadota; Gammaproteobacteria. The record is from RNAcentral.